This is a long non-coding RNA of Rosa chinensis, 1481 nucleotides long. RefSeq lists it as uncharacterized. The record is from RefSeq and is a predicted model, not a curated record. The transcript has 3 exons. NCBI's taxonomy places the organism in Eukaryota, Viridiplantae, Streptophyta, Magnoliopsida, Rosales, Rosaceae.
CAAUAUCAGUAAAUUACAGAUCCUCCAAUCGCUCCCGAGCUCUCUCUCCCUCUUAUCCCUCAAACUCAUUUCUAGGGUUUCGCCCAACACCACCAUCAACGACGGAAGCGAUCGUCUCCUUCUCAUGGACGAGAGCCACAUCACCGCUAAUCGCAGGCCCCUUGCCUCGUCGCGUUUCGAUUCCAGAAGACGGAGAUUUGCCUCUCCAAUCUCCAAUACCGCGUGCCGUUUCAGGUUCCAGAUACCGCUCUGGUCUUCGAUUCGAUCGAUACGAGUGAUGCCGAUUGGGAGUUCAUUGCUGAGGAGUACGAACGAUGUGGUUAGGGUUUCGUAUAAUUGUCUUACAGGAGCUAGACGCCCACAACUGCGGGGAGUUGUCACAACAAAACAUCGAAGAUCCUUGAUCUCGAUAUAGAUGUCCGUUCUGACGUACAAACCAUAGGUUUUGGUGGAUUUGAACUGAUGGAUCCUUCCUACAAGUUGGCUGAAAGCAGGACCAGUAUGUUGUGAUGAGAAACAGGUAAGAGAAAGUUAUUUCAUUUGCCAUGGUUUUACAUAUUUUUAUUUUCUUUACUGUAUUUAUGAAGAAAGAUUUGUUCCUGUUUUGUUCAACAAUGUGAUGGUCGUUAGAUGGGUAUCAGUCUGGCCAACUGUAGUUCCUUCACUUUAUUAUGUCCAACCUUACAACUUCCCAUAACUGUGAUUGGGGUCAGGGAUCAAAACAUUUAAAGACUUUCAUUUUAUAUUUUGUUUACUUUUUUUUUUUUUUUGAUAUCCUUCAUAUAUUUCUAUCAUUUAAAAAAAAAAUAUUCAUCUUAACCACAAUUUACAGAGAUUUUUACUGCUUUUGGCAUUGGUUUGGGUUAGUGAUUAACUUAAGUUGAUUAAUAUGAACUAUUAUCUUCAAUUAUCUAUAUACAAAUACUCAGGCGCAUUAAAAAAAUAUCAAGGACAUGAAAUUUGAUUUGUGUGUCUGUUUGUCAAGUAUAAUGUUUUAAUGUCCAUAUCCUUGUCUGUAAUUUCCCUUUUGGCUGUUAAACUGUUAGUAAUGCGUUCAUGUCUCUUUCCCUAUUGAUACUGCUUUAUUUUAGAGUGAAAAAGAUAGUAUUUGCUUGUGUUGUCUUGGUGUUGUCUUGGUAUUGUAUGCCUCUAGGGAUGCUGUCUUGUUUGUUACUUUUUAAAUUCAGCAUCUGCUCAAGUGAUUCUGUUGUAAAUCUGGUUACGGUAUUCCAUUUUCAGUACUCUGUAUUGUCUCUGUUUCUGAAAUGGGUUUGGCCAAUUGGUAUUGCUAGACUCUGGGAUGCAUUUCUAACUAUUUUGUCCAACUGCAUGCAGAAUUUAGUUAUUUAAUUUGUCUUGUAGACUUUUUUAUCCGAAGACUUGCAAUGUCUUUGACAAAAAAAGAGUUGCAAUCUUUGUAAUCUCUGUAUUUGAGAAAGUCCUUUUGAGAAUAAAAUUGGUCCACAAAGCAAUUCUUGAAA